Molecule: long non-coding RNA, 1274 nt
Organism: Pantherophis guttatus
Lineage: Eukaryota; Metazoa; Chordata; Lepidosauria; Squamata; Colubridae
Source: RefSeq, a predicted model, not a curated record
AGCAAACACAACCUUCCCAGAGAGUGAGAAAAAGUUAUCAAUAAGCUUCUGUCAAGCCCCAGGAGCAAAGAGAGAAACGAAAGGGGAGAGACCAAUGGACUAGAUGGAGAAAAGAAGAGAAGGCUUCUCCCCAGCAUCACCCACAUCACAAUCAGACCAGUGGUGAGUUGCUCCUGAUCCGGUCUGGUUCUAUAGAACCAGUAGUAAAACCAGCAGGAGGCUCUGCCCACCCGCCAUGACAUCAUCAUGGGUGAUCUGUGCAUGCGCAGAAGCGCAAGCGCUCCCGCUGGAAACCGGUAGUAAAGACUUCCAGGCUCCAAAUUCAGCUUCAAAUUUCCAGUCCAUUGGUCUCAAGUGUACUUUAAUGGAACAUGAAGACAUCGCUUUUGUUCUAUAAUACAGAUGCACACCGCUCAGCUAAAAAGAUGAUGAAGCAGGGAGCCAGCUGUGUCGAUGGGAGCCUUAGCUUCCUGUCUUUCCCUGCAUGAACAGCAGUACUCCAUACAAGCUGAAGAGGAAAGCUCAGGCUCUUUGGUGUCCCACUGGAUAUUAGACCAGGUUCACUUGCCCAAUGUCUUUCCCGACUGAAGAAUGGGUGGACAGCCGAAACACGUGGUCUCCCCUAUUUGCAAAGGUGGUUCUUGUCAGAUAUUGGCCAUCUAUUUGUUGAAAAAGCACACAGUGGCUGAACCAUACUUAUUGGCAAUUCAUCUGAGCUGCUUGCAAAGAGGAGGCUGUUAUUACAAAUUCAGGAACAGGUUCAAGCAGAAAACCAGACCGGAAGACAGAUGGAGACUACUGGAGGAUGUGUUUUUUUUCCCCAGCCCUUAUUUAGGGACUAUAUAGUCCCAUUUAGAGCAGGAUGAACAUCAACUACUUUGAGCGGAUGAAUGUCCUGCAUUUAUCCUCCCAAUUGAUCAAGAGAGAGCUUUAACUUGUUGGCCCUCAUCCCAUCCAUUACUUUCCCCAGAUACAAUGUCUAUCUCUCCUCUGAAAGUUUUGCUAAAUGGUCUCUCGUUUUUUUGGGAAGUAGCCAAGGUUUAAUAUAGAGAUAUAGGCUUCGCAGUUACUUACAAAUGUCCUUCUUCGCAGUAAAAGGUUUAUACUUGUUACAGUGAGCAUGUCGUAUAACUAAAAUGUCUCUCUCUCCGUGAAAACAUGUGCUUGUUACACAGUCAACAACAUGAACUUGUGAGUACAAGUAUCUGUGCUUCAGAAUGAUAUCUACAAGAUUCUUCCACACCAUCUGUAUCCUCAGGCAGAAGAGAGAUAAG